Long non-coding RNA from Canis lupus familiaris (dog), 1405 nucleotides. RefSeq lists it as uncharacterized. The transcript is spliced from 3 exons. The record is from RefSeq and is a predicted model, not a curated record. Lineage: Eukaryota; Metazoa; Chordata; Mammalia; Carnivora; Canidae.
CCGGGCUUUGCGCCUGCAGGACGGUGACGUCGGGCACCCGCGCCCCCGGGAGACCCGCGUCCCGGAGGCCACAGCGGGGGCCCUGUGCACGUGCUGCCCUCGGGGGUCCAGGGAGCCACCAGGGGCUGGCGCAGGCUGGCAGUACCCGGCAGCCGCAGAAACCACACACACAGGUGGACAAAGGAACGUGUCACUUCAAGGAACGGCUGAUGCUUUCCGGAAAAUAAAAAAUAUUGGGAGCAACGAGGUGUGGAAGCCAGAGCUCCUCGCGGCCACAGACCCCACAGACCUAAUGCAGGAGAGCCGCCCCCAGAAGAUGCCAAGCGCCCUCCUCCGUCUCAGCCGCUCGGCCUGACCCCCACGUCCCCGUGGCCAGGGGCCAGGUUCCUGCCUGGUGGCCCCGGGGGAGGACGCCCAGCUGUCUUGGCCUGUCCUUGGUCUCUGACCGUGGAGGGGAUCCUCACUGCCUGGGGACUGAGGCAGGGAUGGGACCCAAGUUCUCAGCGAGGGUGUGCAAGAGCUGGACGUUGUGACCUUGGCCGAGACCUGACCCUGCCGCGGCCCCGCCGCCCCAGCCUGGGCUCUGCAAACCAAAGGGUUAUUGUCAGCCGGGCGUGGGUUCGAAACUGAGGAUGGUUGCCAGCAGCCUCUGCCCCCAGCCUGGCACGUCACACCCCCCCUCCCCCCAGAGGCCAUGUGCUGGGCGACCUAGAGCAAGGCACUGGCCCUCUCUGGGGAGCCCUCUUUCCAUGCCCCCCUCUCCACCCUGGACUGGCCUCAGCCUCACCCCCUGCAGCCUACUUCCCACCUUGCUCCUCCCCAGCUCAGACAUUCACCAUGACUCCCCAGGGCCCCAGGCUUCACUCCUCCAGACCCCCCAGAAAGCAGUCCCUCAUGGGGACCAAUCAGCGUCCUGAUGGAGGAUGCCAUACCCAGGGCAGAGGGGGGAGGUCGAGGCCGACUUCUCAGGGAAGGAGCUCGGACAUUCACCGUGACAUUUAAAUGUCACAUUGGACCGAGCAAUGGUGGGGCAGGGGGUGUGGGAACAGAAGCAGUAGGAUGUUUGGGCCGCAGGUAAGAGAGAGCCCACCUGGAAGGUUUGGAUGGGCAGGUGGCCCCGGACGACGCAGGUGGAAUCAGAGGAGCGCCGCGCAGAGAGCGUUUCCCUCCGCGACCCGGGAGAUGUCCGUGACCCGCCGUCGCCGGGUGUGAAGGUAGAGGAAGGGGCCUCGAGCCAGAGAAUAAGCUGGAAAAGCAAGGAAUAGACCCCCCUCCCCGACCCCCGAGACACCAAAAGGAAGGCAACUGCACCGAUACAUUUAGUUCAGAGACCCAUGUUGGACUUCUGAUCUCUAGGACUAGAGAAGAACAAUCUGUUGUUUUUUUGUAUUAAAGAUUUUAUUGA